RNAcentral lists this ribosomal RNA (120 nucleotides) under Rhinella ocellata (ocellated toad). RNAcentral's name for it is "partial 16S ribosomal RNA". Lineage: Eukaryota; Metazoa; Chordata; Amphibia; Anura; Bufonidae. The record is from RNAcentral.
UUUUCUCUAGUACGAAAGGACCGAGAAAACGUGGCCUAUAUUAACACAAGCCACAACUACUAAACUAUGAUUAAAACUCAAUAGUAUAGUGAUCCCUGUUAAUGCUCUAAAUAAGAGUAG